GCUUGUCUCAAAGAUUAAGCCAUGCAUGUCUAAGUAUAAACAAAUCUAUACUGUGAAACUGCGAAUGGCUCAUUAUAUCAGUUAUAGUUUCUUUGAUGGUUCUUACUACUUGGAUAACCGUAGUAAUUCUAGAGCUAAUACAUGCAUGAACCCCCGACUUUUGAAGGGGUGUAUUUAUUAGAUUGAAACCAAUGCGGGUUCUGCCCGGUUUUGUGUUGAAUCAUAGUAACUUUUCGAAUCGCAUGGCUUCACGCCGGCGAUAGUUCAUUCAAAUUUCUGCCCUAUCAGCUUUCGACGGUAGUGUAGUGGACUACCGUGGCGUUAACGGGUAACGGAGAAUUAGGGUUCGAUUCCGGAGAGGGAGCCUGAGAAACGGCUACCACAUCUAAGGAAGGCAGCAGG
RNAcentral lists this ribosomal RNA (402 nucleotides) under uncultured Protaspa. Its description in RNAcentral is "partial small subunit ribosomal RNA". It matches the Rfam family "Eukaryotic small subunit ribosomal RNA", at positions 30 to 432 of the family's 1831-position model. The record is from RNAcentral. Lineage: Eukaryota; Cercozoa; Thecofilosea; Cryomonadida.